This 337-nucleotide unclassified non-coding RNA is filed under the name soil metagenome. RNAcentral's name for it is "partial contains 5.8S ribosomal RNA, internal transcribed spacer 2, and large subunit ribosomal RNA". The stretch from base 1 to 120 matches the Rfam family "5.8S ribosomal RNA", at positions 35 to 154 of the family's 154-position model. The record is from RNAcentral.
GAUGAAGAACGUAGCGAAAUGCGAUAAGUAGUGUGAAUUGCAGAAUUCAGUGAAUCAUCGAAUCUUUGAACGCACAUUGCGCCCCUUGGUAUUCCAUGGGGCGUGCCUGUUCGAGCGUCAUUUGUACCUUCAAGCUCUGCUUGGUGUUGGGUGUUUGUCUCGCCUCUGCGUGUAGACUCGCCUCAAAACAAUUGGCAGCCGGCGUAUUGAUUUCGGAGCGCAGUACAUCUCGCGCUUUGCACUCAUAACGACGACGUCCAAAAGUACAUUUUUACACUCUUGACCUCGGAUCAGGUAGGGAUACCCGCUGAACUUAAGCAUAUCAAUAAGCGGAGGA